Molecule: long non-coding RNA, 222 nt
Filed under: Nicotiana benthamiana
Lineage: Eukaryota; Viridiplantae; Streptophyta; Magnoliopsida; Solanales; Solanaceae
Description: long non-coding RNA (NBEN_LNC015492)
Source: RNAcentral
AUAUGAUGACGGACGUACAAGAGAAAAUCGAUACAACCAUUUAAGUUGGUUACAGUGAGAGAAAUACCAACUCAUAUGAGCCCUGUAAGAUAAAAAUAAAAAUGGAUACAGAUGACAUUAACAAAUAACAGCUGGUCUACUUUGUGGUAAUUGCUAGUGAAGCUGAGAAUGUAUAGGUCAAUGCUAUGCUGACAAGCUCAUUUAGAAAAUCACGAUCACAUA